AUGAAAAUGCAAGGAGUAAAUAAGAAUAAGAAUAAGAAUUUUACUUAUGAUAUGAUGAUGAGGCAAAUCACUAGCAGACAACUGCCAAGAAUGCAGGACUAUUUUACUCUGCCUGAGAAUAUGCAUGUCUUGUUUUCUGGUUAUGGAUAUUGUAUAGUACUACAUAUCUUGUUUUUUUGUAAUAUAAUGCUUACCAAAGGUUUCAAUAUUUUGCUGUUACCAUUGUUCUUUGAGCAUAAUUCUUUUUCAUUUCCUACUAUCCUUAUUCUAAUUCUCUUAAAUUGCUAUGUUGUGUGUAAUAGAAUUAGAUCUUGGAUCUGCUAG
RNAcentral lists this ribosomal RNA (324 nucleotides) under Triticum aestivum (bread wheat). RNAcentral describes it as "partial small subunit ribosomal RNA". Lineage: Eukaryota; Viridiplantae; Streptophyta; Magnoliopsida; Poales; Poaceae. The record is from RNAcentral.